This 1595-nucleotide ribosomal RNA is filed under the name Yersinia massiliensis. RNAcentral describes it as "partial 23S ribosomal RNA". It matches the Rfam family "Bacterial large subunit ribosomal RNA", at positions 1 to 1636 of the family's 2925-position model. Lineage: Bacteria; Pseudomonadati; Pseudomonadota; Gammaproteobacteria; Enterobacterales; Yersiniaceae. The record is from RNAcentral.
GGUUAAGCGACUAAGCGUACACGGUGGAUGCCUAGGCAGUCAGAGGCGAUGAAGGGCGUGCUAAUCUGCGAAAAGCGUCGGUAAGCUGAUAUGAAGCGUAAUAACCGACGAUACCCGAAUGGGGAAACCCAGUGCAAUUCGUUGCACUAUCGUUAGAUGAAUACAUAGUCUAACGAGGCGAACCGGGGGAACUGAAACAUCUAAGUACCCCGAGGAAAAGAAAUCAACCGAGAUUCCCCCAGUAGCGGCGAGCGAACGGGGAGGAGCCCAGAGUCUGAAUCAAGUGGUGUGUUAGUGGAAGCGUCUGGAAAGUCGCACGGUACAGGGUGAUAGUCCCGUACACCAAAACACACUGCUUGUGAACUCGAUGAGUAGGGCGGGACACGUGACAUCCUGUCUGAAUAUGGGGGGACCAUCCUCCAAGGCUAAAUACUCCUGACUGACCGAUAGUGAACCAGUACCGUGAGGGAAAGGCGAAAAGAACCCCGGCGAGGGGAGUGAAAUAGAACCUGAAACCGUGUACGUACAAGCAGUGGGAGCACCUUCGUGGUGUGACUGCGUACCUUUUGUAUAAUGGGUCAGCGACUUAUAUUUUGUAGCAAGGUUAACCGAAUAGGGGAGCCGUAGGGAAACCGAGUCUUAACUGGGCGUCUAGUUGCAAGGUAUAGACCCGAAACCCGGUGAUCUAGCCAUGGGCAGGUUGAAGGUUGGGUAACACUAACUGGAGGACCGAACCGACUAAUGUUGAAAAAUUAGCGGAUGACUUGUGGCUGGGGGUGAAAGGCCAAUCAAACCGGGAGAUAGCUGGUUCUCCCCGAAAGCUAUUUAGGUAGCGCCUCGUGAACUCAUCUUCGGGGGUAGAGCACUGUUUCGGCUAGGGGGCCAUCCCGGCUUACCAAACCGAUGCAAACUCCGAAUACCGAAGAAUGUUAUCACGGGAGACACACGGCGGGUGCUAACGUCCGUCGUGAAGAGGGAAACAACCCAGACCGCCAGCUAAGGUCCCAAAGUCAUGGUUAAGUGGGAAACGAUGUGGGAAGGCAUAGACAGCCAGGAUGUUGGCUUAGAAGCAGCCAUCAUUUAAAGAAAGCGUAAUAGCUCACUGGUCGAGUCGGCCUGCGCGGAAGAUGUAACGGGGCUAAACCAUGCACCGAAGCUGCGGCAGCGACGCUUAGGCGUUGUUGGGUAGGGGAGCGUUCUGUAAGCCGUUGAAGGUGGUCUGUGAGGACUGCUGGAGGUAUCAGAAGUGCGAAUGCUGACAUAAGUAACGAUAAUGCGGGUGAAAAACCCGCACGCCGGAAGACCAAGGGUUCCUGUCCAACGUUAAUCGGGGCAGGGUGAGUCGACCCCUAAGGCGAGGCUGAAAAGCGUAGUCGAUGGGAAACAGGUUAAUAUUCCUGUACUUGGUGUUACUGCGAAGGGGGGACGGAGAAGGCUAGGCUAGCCGGGCGACGGUUGUCCCGGUUUAAGCAUGUAGGCGGAGUGACUUGGUAAAUCCGGUUGCUUAUCAACGCUGAGGUGUGAUGACGAUGCACUACGGUGCAGAAGUAGUUGAUGCCAUGCUUCCAGGAAAAGCCUCUAAGCAUCAGGUAACA